This 249-nucleotide ribosomal RNA is filed under the name uncultured bacterium. Its description in RNAcentral is "partial 16S ribosomal RNA". It matches the Rfam family "Bacterial small subunit ribosomal RNA", at positions 524 to 772 of the family's 1533-position model. The record is from RNAcentral.
UACGUAGGUGGCAAGCGUUAUCCGGAAUUAUUGGGCGUAAAGCGCGCGUAGGCGGUUUUUUAAGUCUGAUGUGAAAGCCCACGGCUCAACCGUGGAGGGUGAUUGGAAACUGGAAAACUUGAGUGCAGAAGAGGAAAGUGGAAUUCCAUGUGUAGCGGUGAAAUGCGCAGAGAUAUGGAGGAACACCAGUGGUGAAGGAGACUUUGUGGUCUGCAACUGACGCUGAGGCUCGAAAGCGUGGGGAGCAAA